This 388-nucleotide long non-coding RNA is filed under the name Capra hircus (goat). Its description in RNAcentral is "lncRNA (ENSCHIG00010007539.1)". Lineage: Eukaryota; Metazoa; Chordata; Mammalia; Artiodactyla; Bovidae. The record is from RNAcentral.
UCGAAAAACGGGAGUCUCCGGGUCUGACUGAUCACGUUCUGGUGAAGGGUUAGGUGUUGAGUUCUGACUGGUUCUCCUUUCCAGGGCUUGAUUCGAAUUUCCUGGGUUGGCCAAGGGUUCUGAUUGGUUUGCAGGUGGUGGGUGAGAUCAGGGGAUUUCCAAAGGCUCUUUUCCCAAACCUUACAAAAUGGAGUAGCUUUGAUUCUUCAGGGCCAUGUUCAGUAAAGCUUUAACCCAAAUUUCUGUUGAUAGGCAGGGCUGUGUUCCCUCCCUGUUUGCUUGACCUGAGGCCAAAUAUUGAAAGCCUUCCUCAAUGCAAAGAAAUAGAGGAAAACAAUAGAAUGAGAAAAACUAGAGAUAUCUUCAAGAAAAUUAGAGAUACCAAGGG